Molecule: ribosomal RNA, 433 nt
Filed under: uncultured bacterium
Lineage: Bacteria
Description: partial 16S ribosomal RNA
Rfam family: Bacterial small subunit ribosomal RNA
Source: RNAcentral
AACGAACGCUGGCGGCAUGCCUAACACAUGCAAGUCGAACGAAGGCUUCGGCCUUAGUGGCGCACGGGUGCGUAACGCGUGGGAAUCUGCCCUUUGGUUCGGAAUAACAGCUGGAAACGGCUGCUAAUACCGGAUGAUGACGAAAGUCCAAAGAUUUAUCGCCAGAGGAUGAGCCCGCGUUGGAUUAGGUGGUUGGUGGGGUAAAGGCCUACCAAGCCGACGAUCCAUAGCUGGUCUGAGAGGAUGAUCAGCCACACUGGGACUGAGACACGGCCCAGACUCCUACGGGAGGCAGCAGUGGGGAAUAUUGGACAAUGGGCGCAAGCCUGAUCCAGCAAUGCCGCGUGAGUGAUGAAGGCCCUAGGGUUGUAAAGCUCUUUUACCCGGGAAGAUAAUGACUGUACCGGGAGAAUAAGCCCCGGCUAACUCCGUG